Molecule: non-coding RNA, 71 nt
Filed under: Plasmodium falciparum 3D7
Lineage: Eukaryota; Apicomplexa; Aconoidasida; Haemosporida; Plasmodiidae
Source: RNAcentral
CUUUUUUAAAUUAGUAAAUUUAGAUAAUAAAAAAAACAAAGCAGUACCUGUUACCCCUCCUCCUAUGACAA